RNAcentral lists this long non-coding RNA (958 nucleotides) under Citrus x clementina. RNAcentral describes it as "Citrus clementina (C. clementina) long non-coding RNA (CCLE_LNC003972)". The record is from RNAcentral. Lineage: Eukaryota; Viridiplantae; Streptophyta; Magnoliopsida; Sapindales; Rutaceae.
UUAGGGCUGGGCAAAAUCAUAUUCGAUCGGGUUCGGUUCGACCCGAUCGGAUUUCGGGUUGGUUGGGUUAGGCAGAAAUCCAUCCGAAUUCAGUCCGAACUUGUAAUCCGAUCUGAUCCCAUCAGAAUAUAUAUUUGGAUCGGGUCAAAAAAUCGGGUUGAGUUCGAUUCGGAUCGGAUUCGGAUUAAAAUCCGUUUGGACUGGAAAAUGAAAAAAUUUAUGCCCAUCAUUGGAAAAAAAAUACAUUACAGCUUUCUUUAUCACUGAUUUUCUUUAUCAUUAGCUGGUGAACAUUAAAAUUUUACAAUUUAUAUAUGAUAAUAAUCACAACAUCAAGAAAAACCAUCAAAAUUUCAAAACACAAGGCUUGGGUUGCAGGUUGGAGAAGUCAGGUUGCUGGGUUGAAGUGGAGCUUGGAGGCGAGAAACUUGGUGAUGGACGGAACCACAGAUCCGGUGGCUGUGUCUGCAAAUGAUCAUCGGUUCUUGCAUUGCGUUUUUGAGUGACCAUCGGUUUGCUUUUGUGACUGAAACCCGAUCUGUGAAACCCGAUUGUGUGAGAAAUCGAUUUGUGAAAACUGAAGAGUGAAGACUUAAAAAGAAGAGAGCAAGGCUGUGAAGAUUUAAGGUUGGAAACUGGAGAAAAACCAAAGAAGAGAGUAAAGCAUGAGGCUGUGAAAUCUGAAAUGUGAGUAAAAGGCUAUCUAUUGCGAUUUUUUAUGGAUGAGGGGUGGGUGGUGGGUGUGUCAGUGUGUGUGUGUGUGUGGAUGGGGGGUGGGUGUGUGUCAGUGUUGUAUUUUUCACCCCUUUGUGUGUGGGUGUUUUAAUUUUUUUUUUUCAAUAGCCAAAUCUGAUUGGAUUUUCGGAUCGGAUCGGGUUGACGAAAUUAAAUCCGAUCAGGUUAUGUUAAAAACCCGAUCCGAUCCAAACCCGAUUGUUUUCGGAUUAGAUCGAGUCGG